AAUAAAGUGCCUGAUAAAAGGGUUAUCUUGAUAGGAUAAAUCAUGUACAUUUUGUAUUUUUAUUA
This 65-nucleotide transfer RNA is filed under the name Lachesilla anna. Its description in RNAcentral is "tRNA-Ile". Lineage: Eukaryota; Metazoa; Arthropoda; Insecta; Psocodea; Lachesillidae. The record is from RNAcentral.